UUGAUCAAUUAAGUGAUGUAAAAUUAAAACUAUAGUGUUGAUUUAUCAUACAUAAAUUGCAUUGUCUGUUGAAAUUGGGAAUCCAAUUUCUCUUUGUUGGGCCCCACCCCAACUUACAUUGUUUGUAGAAUUUCUUUUCGAAAUUCUCUGUGUUGGGGCCCCUGACUAGAAUUGAAAAGUAAUACACAUCAGUAACAUUUCUAUUUUCAUUUAUGAUAU
This 219-nucleotide non-coding RNA is filed under the name Staphylococcus aureus. RNAcentral describes it as "Staphylococcus sRNA 35 (srn_0335)". It matches the Rfam family "Staphylococcus sRNA 35 (srn_0335)", at positions 1 to 227 of the family's 270-position model. Rfam says of the family: Other name: Srn_0335, SAOUHSCs258. Northern blot transcript confirmed in exponentially growing and stationary cells in three cultivation media. Lineage: Bacteria; Bacillati; Bacillota; Bacilli; Caryophanales; Staphylococcaceae. The record is from RNAcentral.